CCGCACCCAUCCAGCGGCGGUGCACCCUCCCGCUCCCGCAGUCGCACACACACACCCACACGAGGGAGGGGGAGGGAGCCUUGGCACGGGAGGAGUUGGCAGUGCACAGUCCCGCGCCGCCGCCGCGGCGGGAGGGGCGCUCCAGACCUUGGGUCAGCACGCCCCCAGAAGGAAGGGGGAACGUGCUCUGCGCCCCCCCGCCCCCCAACCCCCGCCUAGCCCCUUCACAGCAAAUGCGCUUUUUGCCCUGAAGUUGUGUGAGACCGACCUUAAACUUUCUCCGACCCUAUCUCGGGAUGCUACGGCUCAGGUCGUGGUGGUUUCGGGAACCUCAAGACAACAUUCCCCAGCUGACCUUUGGGAACUUUAACUCGGGUCGUCAUGUACGGAAAGGUAGUCUAUGGGGUACGCAGAAUGGAAAAGGGCUUCCACAUCAGUCGUGUCCGAGGACGCUCUCCAACUUUUGAUGUCCCUGGAGAGUUUCUGAUAUUUCCCUGGAGAGUUUCAGGUAAGUCACAGAUAAGUCACUGCGAAGAGGGGGUGUCACCUUCCCUGGACCCAGCGCUAAAUGCUGCUUCCCCACCCCCACGUUCAUAUACACACCCCCUCUUCGCUCCCUCCAAACAGUUAUCACAACUCUGUACAAACUGAUACGGUCCCUAGCGGGCAAAAGGGACUGGAAAUGAACGUCGCGGGGUUAUCAGCGCCGAUCUGUCAGCGGCAACUCGCGCGGCCGCAGGCUCGUCCGCUGCAGGAGCCGUGAUAUAUGUCUCGCUCCCUUUCGCUUACAGAAAGGAUUUCUUCCGACAGACGUGACCCCAGAAGGCUGCCGAGGGAGACUUUAGGACAAGAGGCGUUGUUUUUUUAGGGAAGGAAGAGGAGCCUGUGCAGAGUUGAACUGGGGUGGAGAGGUGCCUUGUAAAGUAUGGUUUCCAGAGAUGGUGAGACCUCGUAGCUAAGCGUUGUUUCCUCUGCACGUAACUGUGAGUUGUGAACUUGUGGCUCCUGGGGGAGCGGGACAGGGCCUGGCAGUGCGGGGGAGGGGGCAAGGAAUUCAGGAAGUUGGCGAGAAUUCUUCGUUUUUCAUUCUUCGUUGUAAAUUGCUUCUAAACACUUCUGAAUUUUAAAUUGCUACCGAGAAGGUCCAGAAACCGUUCUCAUCCAAUUUAGUCACUUUUAUUACGUUCCACUUUGCCUCCCCCAAUCACUGCGGCGGCUCCCAGUUUCAGCGUGGCCGCAUUUGGAAAAGGCUGAAGGUAGAAAACUCUGGAAUGGAGAGGCUGGCGACUGGAGCAGGAUCCAGGGGCUUUAAAUUUUAACCUGAAUGCGAUCGAAUGCGCGACUCCCAGAAGAGAUAGCCAGGCGUCCGCCCGGCCGCUCAACCCCCGCCAGGACUCGGAAUGCCUUGCUUUUGGUUCUUUUCGUGAGUUCCGACCAAAUGUUUAAGUGGACUGGGUUUUGCAGAAGCUCAUUUGUAAGCACUGACGGAAAUGGGUUGUGGGCAUUUGAUUUCCUUUGAUUCCAACGUUUUGAAAUAAUGUUUCUCGGAUUUGCUAUUCGAAGCAAUUUUCUAAAAACUCAUAUCUUAUUUGCUAAAAAUAAACUCUUUGGCUCAGUUUGUGUCCAGGCUGUGUACGGCCUCCAACCCUGAGCCCCGAGGAGAUCGAGCCCUGGCGCGAGCCUGAUCUCUGUCCUGUGUGUUUCUUUGUAUUUGCAAGUACAAGGAUGUCUGCGUGGAUAUCCCUGGACACUCGAUACCCCCCGGGGACCUGCUUUUCCCGCAGCUCCGCAGACGCGGCGGGAGGGCGCGCUGGCCCCGGCGCUGCUGGGACAGAGGUGAGCAGCGGGGUGGACAUUGACCGAUUCGACAACGUUCGGGCUCUAAGGGCUCGGGAAGGGACCCGGCAUUUUACCCUCCAGAUUCCCAAUCUAUUUUUAAAAAUAAUGUUCAAAACAUAUGGGAAAAAUAAGUGAUUGCUCCUUUUCAUGGUCACAGAUUGUAUUUAUUUUUUCAGACUGGUUUUCCAACCUAACGAGGGAAUGGGUAGUGAAUGUUGUUGUUGUUGUUGUUGUUUAUGUUGGUUAAUUUCGAAAUAAAACUGUUUAACUCGUACAGUUGAUUCAGACAG
This 2129-nucleotide long non-coding RNA is filed under the name Homo sapiens (human). Its description in RNAcentral is "PREDICTED lncRNA (TCONS_00126207)". The record is from RNAcentral. Lineage: Eukaryota; Metazoa; Chordata; Mammalia; Primates; Hominidae.